RNAcentral lists this non-coding RNA (26 nucleotides) under Homo sapiens (human). Lineage: Eukaryota; Metazoa; Chordata; Mammalia; Primates; Hominidae. The record is from RNAcentral.
UACCUUGCUCUGUGUGGGAGUUUGGA